Lactuca sativa (garden lettuce) is the source of this 388-nucleotide non-coding RNA. The record is from RefSeq and is a predicted model, not a curated record. Lineage: Eukaryota; Viridiplantae; Streptophyta; Magnoliopsida; Asterales; Asteraceae.
AAUAGGUAGGAAGAGCUGGAAGACAUCACUAUGGGUCAAAGGAAUUAUUUGUUGAUGAGAAUGAUGAUGUUAUGAAAUCAUGACAAAUCCAAUAUCAUGCUGCUGCAAUAGAUAGAGAGUCAGGUAGAGGUAUUGUCAAUCGCUGCAAAUGGAUACUAUAAGGUUGUGAAAGAAAAUCAGACUUUAUACAACAUGGUCGAAGAUUUAAAAGGAAACAUUCAAGUUUACCGCAGGAUUAGACCUGAAAAAGUUGUUUCAAUUCAACCGCGUUUUUGGUCCAACUAGUACUCAAGUUAAUAAUAAUAAUUCAAACAUUUUUCCAUAAUUCUAGAACCUUCUGUUGACUAAUGUUUUGACUGUUAUCAGAUGAGAUUUUUUGCUGACAAGA